Molecule: long non-coding RNA, 478 nt
Filed under: Cinara cedri
Lineage: Eukaryota; Metazoa; Arthropoda; Insecta; Hemiptera; Aphididae
Source: RNAcentral
UGAGACAUAAUUGUUUGGUGAGUGAUUUUCUCGUCUACUUAAAUAAUGUAUCUGCAAAGUUAUCAUUCGGCAAUUGUUUUAAAUUUGAAAUCGUUUUUCUUUCAGCUUUCGAAUUCACUCCACGAAACCCAAACCAAAAAUCAAAAAAUGGGCGCUGAAAAGGUAUCCAUGAACAUCGUCGUCGUCGGACAGGUCCAAUCCGCCAAGGCCAUCAAAACCGUCGCAAAGGACGCCCCAGCCACCAGCCAACUGAUGGUGAGUACCCACCUACUUCUUUUCAUCACAAAUAUCGUUUUUUUUUUUUUAAUUCUGAGAAGAGCAAUAUUUGUCGUUUCAGAAAAAAUUUGGGACUUCGGGGUCAAUAAAAACUACUUAAUAGUAAAUUUUUCGAAUUAUUUUUAACUAUAGUUUUUUCAUAAGCACCUAAGCCCCUAAGAUCGAUAAAUUAUGAUGACCGUCUUGUUACAAUCGAUUUUGA